CGAAUCAAAGGUUCUGAAUCGCAAUUUCCAAGCUGCUCACAAUACCUCCAAUGAGAUCACCUCUUGCAAACUCAAAAACGGC
Molecule: transfer RNA, 82 nt
Filed under: Candidozyma auris
Lineage: Eukaryota; Fungi; Ascomycota; Pichiomycetes; Serinales; Metschnikowiaceae
Description: [Candida] auris tRNA-Ser
Source: RNAcentral